This is a long non-coding RNA of Ictalurus furcatus (blue catfish), 2342 nucleotides long. RefSeq lists it as uncharacterized. The record is from RefSeq and is a predicted model, not a curated record. The transcript is spliced from 4 exons. NCBI's taxonomy places the organism in Eukaryota, Metazoa, Chordata, Actinopteri, Siluriformes, Ictaluridae.
GAAGUUACUGAUGGAGUCUCCCUUUUCUCUGCCCUUUUAACCUCUCUUUCACACACACACACACACACACACACACACACACACACACACACACAGUGAGGCCUCUCAUUCAGUAACAGGCAUUUUUCCUUUUGACUUCUCUGAAUUCUAGUCUUUUUUAUUUAGUGUGUGUGUGUGUGUGUGUGUGUUCGGUUGUCAUGCCACAACUGCUCCUAAUUGGCUGUACACACAAACAGAACACAGUUGGGAACACCUUUUUGUCACAGAACACACACACACACACACACACACACACACAAUUGCUAUACAAAGACAGAACAGACACACUUGUGUGUGUGUGUGUGUGUGUGUGUGUGUGUGUGUGUGUGUCAUGCUACUGUUUGCGCUCAUUACCGUGUCUGUUCUCCCAGCAUGCACUUCUUUCGUGUCCAUCUGAAAAAUUUUAAUGGAUACCUCUAAACCAAGGCGUGUGUGUGUGUGUGUGUGUGUGUUCUCCAGUGAAAUAACUGGAGAAACCAUUUUCUUUGCUCUAAAAUUAAUAAUUGGCAUUACAGAAACUUACAAAAAAAGUGCUAAAAUUAUUGACAUGACUAAAGAACAUUAAAGAAGAAGCUCUGGUGGUUUUCUGGGAUUGGGGGUUUGAACAACCCUGAAAUAUUUAACACACUGUGUGCAGUAACCACAUUGUAGUGAUGUUAAUAAAUCACUAGUGAUGUCAUCAGUGCAGUUCCUCCUUAUUGAACUGCUCAGACAUUGAAAUACGGUGCCUUAGUUUGUAAUUGGCUACUGCUGAGAAACAGGAUUAACCAAUCACAAUCAUGCAUUAUUCCCAUUUCUGUUUGAAAGCUAUGAGCAUAGCUAGCUACACUGUGAGCUCCGCGAUAUCGAGGUGAUGGCUGGUGUUAAUAUUUAACAGCAGCUUUAAUAUUUGGUAAAUCCUUCCCUGGAGAGAGCGACAGUGCUGAGUGUCUUCCUCUGAGCUUUAACAAGUGCAGAGAAUCUUUCAGAAGCUUUCAAGCUGCUUUAUAUUCAUAGGUUUGAGCAGCUAACUCUCUCCAUCGCUGUCCCUCGCCCUCUGUCCUCUCACUGUCCCAGUGGUGGUAGACGGGGUUAGGGUAGAGGCUUUAUUCAGCUUGAGGAUGAAUGAGGACUUUCUGCAAAGUGACAUCUCUGCAGCAGAUGUCACUUUUACUAAUGAUAAAAUAAAAUAAAUAAAGAAAAUGGGAAAAGGAAGGUGCGAGAAAGAAGGAAUGAAGUAUAAAUGAAGGGUAAAAGAGAAGAAAGAAAGGUUAAGGAGAAAAAAUAAACAAUGAGAGAGAUAGAGAAAGAGAGAGAGAGAUGAGAUGCUUCCUGUCACGCUCUGUCAUUACAGUGAGUUAAAGGACAGCGUUGUGAGUGUGUUAAUUGGGAAGGGUGAUACACACUCACUUUAACCCCGUCACACACACUUAACCACGUCUCCCUCCUGUCUGCCUUCAUAAACCUCAGCACCCAUCCCUCACCACUGUGUGUGUGUGUGUGUGUGUGUGUGUGUGUAAUGAAGGUGUUUGCAUGUGCACACUUGUGAACAGGUGUUUUCUCUCCAUUUCCUUGAAAAGUGUAUAUAUGAAUACUAAACUCUGUUUGCAUAUAUUUGCAUAUGACUGAAUAUUCAAUGAGCUCUUAUUUGAUCUGUGCUGUAUAUUCAUAUCCUGCAGCAGCCUGAAGACUUUACAAACCAUUUAAAGUGUGUGUGUGUGUGUGUGUGUGUGAGACCCAAGAGUCAAGAGCCUUGUGUCUGUCUAUCUGUCUGUCUUCCUGUCUAUCUGCCUUUCUGUCUUUAUCCGACUUAAUUAAAUUGAAAUUUAAUUGAAUGCGUGUCUUGCUCUCUCUCCAUGUCUGACCCUCUGUCUGACUGUCUUUCUGUUUGUUUGACUGUCUGUCUAUCUGUCUUUCCAUCUGCCUGACUGCCUGUUUGUCUUUUUCUGUCUCUCUGUCUGUCUGCAUAGCUGUCAAUCUCUCUGUCUGUCUCUCUAUUUGUCUGUCUCUGUGUCUUUUUUUGACUCUUUCUUUGUCUGACUGUCUAUGUGACUGUCAGUCUGUUUGUGUGUCUGUCUGUCUAGAUAUCUGUCUAUAUAUGUCUGUUUAUCUGUCUGUUUAACUGUCAAUUUAUCACUCUUUCUGUGUCUCUGUGCCUGUCUAUCUAUCUAUCUAUCUAUCUAUCUGUCUAUCUGUCUGUCUUUCUGUUUGUCUGUCUGUCUGAUUGUUUAUCUGUCUGUCUGUCAAUCUGUCUGUUUGUCUGUGUGCUUAUCUGUCUGUCUGUCAAUCUGUCAAUCGGUCACUCUGUAUCUCUGUGCCUGUCU